UACCAGCACCCCGAGUGGUCGGGACGAUUAUUGGGCCUAAAGCAUCCGUAGCCGGUCUUACAAGUCCUCCGUUAAAUCCAGCUGCUUAACAGAUGGGCUGCGGAGGAUACUAUAAGACUAGGAGGCAGGAGAGGCAAGCGGUACUCAGUGGGUAGGGGUAAAAUCCGUUGAUCCAUUGAAGACCACCAGUGGCGAAGGCGGCUUGCCAGAAUGCGCUCGACGGUGAGGGAUGAAAGCUGGGGGAGCAAACCGG
RNAcentral lists this ribosomal RNA (253 nucleotides) under uncultured bacterium. RNAcentral describes it as "partial 16S ribosomal RNA". It matches the Rfam family "Archaeal small subunit ribosomal RNA", at positions 474 to 727 of the family's 1478-position model. The record is from RNAcentral.